CGUAUCAGUUUUAUGGGGUAAAGCAAUGAUUAGAGGUAUUGGGAUUGAAACGAACUUGACCUAUUCUCAAACUUUGAAUAUGUAAAUCGUCCUUGUUUCUUAAGUGAACGUGGACUCUUGAAUGAAGAGCUUUUAGUGGGCCAUUUUUGGUAAGCAGAACUGGCGAAGCGGGAUGAACCGAACGCGGAGUUAAGGUGCCGGAGUGUACGCUCAUCAGACACCACAAAAGGUGUUAGUUCAUCUAGACAGACGGAUGGUGGCCAUGGAAGUCGGAAUCCGCUAGGGAGUGUGUAACAACUCACCGGCCGAAUGAACUAGCCCUGAAAAUGGAUGGCGCUCAAGCGUACGAAUUAUACUUCGCCGCUACGGCUGAGCAGGCCGUAGCGAGUAGGCAGGCGUGGAUGUUGUGUCGAAGCCUUGGGCGCGAGCCUGGGUGGAACGGCCUCUAGUGCAGAUCUUGGAGGUAGUAGCAACUAUUCAAAUGGGAACUUUGAAGACUGAAGUGGAGAAAGGUUCCGUUGGAACAGCAGUUGGCAACGGGUUAGUCGGCCUUAACCGCACGACUAGCGGCACACACCCCAACGUGUUGGGGGCGGGAAAAGGAAUCCGGGCAAGAUUCCGGAAAUUGGCGCGGCCACGGCAACGUAUUGAGUGUGGAGACGCCGGCACGGUCCCCGGGAGGAGUUAUCUUUUCUUUUUAACAGCAUGUGGGCCCUGAAAUUGGUUUGGCCAGCGCUAGGGUGCGCAUGCUGGAAGAGCCCCGCCUCGGCGGGGUCCGGAGCGCUCGUGACGGACCAUGAAAAUCCACAGGAAGAAGGAACGCGCCAAGCCGUACUCAUAACCGCAGCAGGUCUCCUAGGUUAACAGCCUCUAGUUGAUAGAAGAACGUAGAUAAGGGAAGUCGGCAAAAUAGAUCCGUAACUUCGGGAUAAGGAUUGGCUCACAAGGGUGUGCGGGGGAUGCGUGGGUGACGUUUGUUCCGGGGCCUGGACUGCUCAUUGUUCACGCUUUGGGUGGACCGGGAGCUGGCGCUUUCCGAGCGCUGCGUUGAAACCGCAUGCAACACCUAAUUGUGAACUGGUACGGACAAGGGGAAUCUGACUGUCUAAUUAAAACAUAGCAUUGUGAUAGUCCCAAAGGAUGUUGACACAAUGUGAUUUCUGCCCAGUGCUCUGAAUGUUAACGUGAAGAAAUUCAACUAAGCGCGGGUAAACGGCGGGAGAAACUAUGACUCUCAACCUUAGGGAGGCAAAGGCGGGACAUCCCCGAGCGGAAACGCGAGGGGGUGUUUAGACCCGCUAGUCGAUCUGGCCACAGCAGCUGUGGGUGGCCAGCGGCGACAUAACCUGGUACGGGGAAGGCCCUAGCACGCCUUGCAUUCUUGGGAUCGAAAGUGAAGAGGUGCACGGCGGGGGUUAAUCCCGUGACGAGCCUGCUAUGGGCGACUGUAGCAAGGCCGUCAUAGAGCACGGAAAGGUAUGGGUCUACUCUAGUAUUAGGCUUAAGGUACGUGCCGUCCCCUCGUAAGAGUGCGGGCCAGAAUAGCUCCCACAGGGCGAAGCUGGCUCGGCCUAGACACAGCCCCUACGGGUCUGUGCCUAGGUGGGUUGGACGCUUAAGGUAUCCAAAUGCCUCGUUAUCUAACUAGUGACGCGCAUGAAUGGAUUAGCGAGAUUCCCACUGUCCCUAUCUACUAUCUAGCGAAACCAAAGCCACGGGAACGGGCGUGGCAGAAUCAGCGGGGAAAGAAGACCCUGUUGAGCUUGACUCUAGUUUGACCUUGU
RNAcentral lists this ribosomal RNA (1784 nucleotides) under Entelexis paramagnoliae. RNAcentral's name for it is "eukaryotic LSU rRNA". It matches the Rfam family "Eukaryotic large subunit ribosomal RNA", at positions 991 to 2442 of the family's 3401-position model. The record is from RNAcentral. Lineage: Eukaryota; Fungi; Ascomycota; Dipodascomycetes; Dipodascales; Trichomonascaceae.